RNAcentral lists this long non-coding RNA (563 nucleotides) under Prunus dulcis (almond). Its description in RNAcentral is "sRNA ncRNA". Lineage: Eukaryota; Viridiplantae; Streptophyta; Magnoliopsida; Rosales; Rosaceae. The record is from RNAcentral.
GUAGAAGGUAUAGAAAAGGUAAAAGCUCCUUUCCUCAUCCAAAAGUUUGGUAUUUCUUGUGUAAAACUCGUCCAAGAAUAACUCCUUGUGGAAGUAGAAAUCUAAAUUAUGUGAAUAAACUGGCUGUCACUUCAAUUCACAUGCUCCUUGACAUACUUUAGAUUAAGAAUUAGUUGUGGUUUCACUUUACAUGCAUUUUAUUGGAGUUUUAUGGCUACACGUGUUUUUAUGGUAAAACAGUGGCCGUAUGAAGCUGCUGCUAUAGCUUUUGAGGCUAUACCACGUACUUUGGCUCAGAAUUGCGGGGGGAAUGUGAUUAGAACAAUGACGGCGCUGCAGGGAAAGGUUUGAAUCUGUUUUGUAUGGCUUUGUUCAGUUUUGUUAUGAUUUGUCAUUUCUAUAUACGUUCUGAUGCAUCAUUAUUAUUUUGGUCAGAAUAUGAUGCAUCAUUUAUAUCCUAACCACAAUUUUUUUUCCAUAGCAUGCAAAUGGUGAAAAUGCAUGGAUUGGCAUUGAUGGUAACACUGGUGUGAUAACUGAUGUGAAAGAGAAAAAGAUAGGUG